GGCCGGUUAGCUCAGUUGGUUAGAGCGUCUGGUUGAUAAUGCUAAUUUUGUGGGAUCGAUUCCCAUAGUGGCCA
Molecule: transfer RNA, 74 nt
Filed under: Biomphalaria glabrata
Lineage: Eukaryota; Metazoa; Mollusca; Gastropoda; Planorbidae
Rfam family: tRNA
About the family: Transfer RNA (tRNA) molecules are approximately 80 nucleotides in length.
Source: Rfam by way of RNAcentral